CGGGAAACAACCUUUUAGGCAUCGGCAAAGCAUUACGCGAGGCAAUCGUCCCGUCAGGCAUGGACCGAAAAUCGCCGUUCGCAUGAUGUAGUAUAGCUACAUUUCUCCUGUAAUACCCACAAAGUAUAUUUACAGAUUGUCACUGAUAGUGUGCCACUUGCACCUAGGGUGAACCCUCAGCCAUGCUUCAAAGGUGUGCGGGCAUAGGAAUCCGUUGUUACUGUACAUACAUAAGCCGCUAGAAACGACGACUCCUGUUCAUGUGUCACCUUCUUGCGCUUGGUCACCUCGCGCUGAAGGCUCCAAACGCAUCUUGCUGCAAUACAUGUAAGCACUGCUUGGUUAUGCCUCUUCAAGUUAUGCUGAAUUGACGAAUGAUGCUUUAUAUUGUGGAAUUAUGGGGCUCUGCCCGCAGAUGUGACGUUGUCAGUGCGGCCUGCCCCGACCCAAGGGUCGAGACAAGCGCCGCCACUAGCAUUAUGAAAAUGCGCUUCAUUUUGGUGUAUUUACUCCUUGGUGCUAAUAUCCUAUAUUCUCUAGCACUCCACCCGUGAGGUCUCGCUAAUGAGGCGAAGGCACAGCGGUGUAGUAACAGAAAGCACGCCGGAGGCGCGGAUACCAGUGAAGCACUCGGCGUACUGCACAUGACGCGUACCGCCAGCACACUCGUGCUACUAAGUUGUGCGCUACAACGGCAAAGCCAGUAACACCCUGCAGUGUGGACCGAACCAGUUGCGUCAUUUGGAGCUUUCUAAACGGUCGGCGCCCGGGGGAGCAGCUCCCGGUCAAUUAGGUUUCAGAGCAGCGCGCUGGGAGCGGCGCCAUAAGACCAUCCCAUUUGGGUACCUUCAUACCAUAAGGCCCUCCCCGUGGACAUGUCUGCUGUGAUGAAGGUGCACCGAGCCAAAAUUUUGCCCCCGAGUUUCAUUGUCCGAGCUGCAGCUACACCUCCCGCCUCGAUGAGACGAAAAGAACUAAUGUGUGACGCGCGAAAUAAUUUACGACGCGCAACCCCGUCCUAAUAAGGGCCGGGCCCGUUCCCAGGGGCAGCUGCAAGCGCUUUUCGUGCUGCGUUCCAACACAAAUCGACCAACAAUCCAAAUCCCGGUGCACGAGCAAACCUCCCGUCGCUUCAUCCGAGCCCUCACUUCCUUCCGUCCACUGAAGUGACGGUUACAAUGUACGUGUCAUCGUAUGUCUCCACGAAUGGCCACCAGCCGCCGUGCAGUACGAAUCUAUCGCAGCCACCAUCACCACUGUUAUCGCACCCCUUGGUUCGGAGUGGAACCAUGAUAGCGGCGUUUCUGGGGCUGGGCUGUGUACCCUCCACUUCAGCCUCCAACCAGCGAUUGGUCUGUGGGUGGUUUUUACGAGCGGAAUUGCGGGUGAAGGACCACCGACAGGGCCGCUUUCCUGGCUAGCAUGAAACCCGGGAAUCCCGCAUACAGGCCAACCAAAUUUAAUUGAUACCCACCUUUCCAGGCCGUGCAGCAUGCAGGACAAUAGUUCAUGGGGUGGCAAAAGAAUCACUGAUAGAGUAGGGAGCGCAGAAAGCAGUCCAACUUUGACGAUACUCACACACUCGUUACCGCCGUACCUGCGUAUCGUACAAGAUGACGUCGUCCCGCGGCUGCAGCUGUCCCGUCAGGGCGUAGUAUGAGCCACCAAUAAAGAUCAAGUAACGACCCGUGACGCCACUACCGCCGCUGCAGGCUCCGGAGAUAUGGGAGCACCGAGCCUAUGGGGUCAUAG
Molecule: long non-coding RNA, 1752 nt
Filed under: Volvox carteri
Lineage: Eukaryota; Viridiplantae; Chlorophyta; Chlorophyceae; Chlamydomonadales; Volvocaceae
Description: long non-coding RNA (VCAR_LNC002460)
Source: RNAcentral